RNAcentral lists this transfer RNA (76 nucleotides) under Pseudomonas aeruginosa. RNAcentral's name for it is "tRNA-Ala". It matches the Rfam family "tRNA". From Rfam's summary of the family: Transfer RNA (tRNA) molecules are approximately 80 nucleotides in length. Their secondary structure includes four short double-helical elements and three loops (D, anti-codon, and T loops). Further hydrogen bonds mediate the characteristic L-shaped molecular structure. tRNAs have two regions of fundamental functional importance: the anti-codon, which is responsible for specific mRNA codon recognition, and the 3' end, to which the tRNAs corresponding amino acid is attached (by aminoacyl-tRNA synthetases). tRNAs cope with the degeneracy of the genetic code in two manners: having more than one tRNA (with a specific anti-codon) for a particular amino acid; and 'wobble' base-pairing, i.e. permitting non-standard base-pairing at the 3rd anti-codon position. RNAcentral also lists the same sequence under 1 other name. The record is from RNAcentral. Lineage: Bacteria; Pseudomonadati; Pseudomonadota; Gammaproteobacteria; Pseudomonadales; Pseudomonadaceae.
GGGGCUAUAGCUCAGCUGUGAGAGCGCUUGCAUGGCAUGCAAGAGGUCGACGGUUCGAUCCCGUCUAGCUCCACCA